UUUUUUAGAAGAAUGGAGCCCAAAAGAGGGACUAAAAUAGAUUUCAAUAUCCAAAAGUCUGACCAUCUUUCUGUCUAGAUAAAAUUUAUUGAUAAGGAUUAUACCUUGGAUGAACUCACUGAUUUUUUAUUGUGUUAGUAGUGUUGAUAUCAAAUUUUGUACCUUCAGCGUGGUCAUCAGAUCUCAAAGUCUCCUACGUCCACAUAAGUAGAUUCUGCACACUAAGAUAAAUCGUUAACCACAUGUGGCCCUCUCAGGUAGUGAUGCAAUUGGCCAUACAUACUCUAAUAAUCAAUUCAGUUGAUGGUAUAAGUGUUUGAAUGUGAGAGUUGCUCGAGGCACGCACAUUUU
Molecule: long non-coding RNA, 351 nt
Filed under: Olea europaea (common olive)
Lineage: Eukaryota; Viridiplantae; Streptophyta; Magnoliopsida; Lamiales; Oleaceae
Description: long non-coding RNA (OEUR_LNC014677)
Source: RNAcentral